GAUUUGGGCUACACACGUGCUACAAUGGACAAUACAAAGGGCAGCGAAACCGCGAGGUCAAGCAAAUCCCAUAAAGUUGUUCUCAGUUCGGAUUGUAGUCUGCAACUCGACUACAUGAAGCUGGAAUCGCUAGUAAUCGUAGAUCAGCAUGCUACGGUGAAUACGUUCCCGGGUCUUGUACACACCGCCCGUCACACCACGAGAGUUUGUAACACCCGAAGCCGGUGGAGUAACCUUUUAGGAGCUAGCCGUCGAAGGUGGGACAAAUGAUUGGGGUGAAGUCGUAACAAGGUAGCCGUAUCGGAAGGGGCGGCUGGAUCACCUCCUUUCUAAGGA
Molecule: ribosomal RNA, 336 nt
Filed under: Staphylococcus aureus
Lineage: Bacteria; Bacillati; Bacillota; Bacilli; Caryophanales; Staphylococcaceae
Description: bacterial SSU rRNA
Rfam family: Bacterial small subunit ribosomal RNA
Source: RNAcentral